UACGGAGGGGGUUAGCGUUGUUCGGAAUUACUGGGCGUAAAGCGUACGUAGGCGGAUUAGCAAGUAUGGGGUGAAAUCCCGGGGCUCAACCCCGGAACUGCCUCAUAAACUGCUAGUCUAGAGUUCGAGAGAGGUGAGUGGAAUUCCGAGUGUAGAGGUGAAAUUCGUAGAUAUUCGGAGGAACACCAGUGGCGAAGGCGGCUCACUGGCUCGAUACUGACGCUGAGGUACGAAAGUGUGGGGAGCAAACAGG
RNAcentral lists this ribosomal RNA (253 nucleotides) under uncultured bacterium. RNAcentral describes it as "partial 16S ribosomal RNA". It matches the Rfam family "Bacterial small subunit ribosomal RNA", at positions 524 to 776 of the family's 1533-position model. The record is from RNAcentral.